RNAcentral lists this ribosomal RNA (886 nucleotides) under Dirina fallax. RNAcentral's name for it is "LSU rRNA". It matches the Rfam family "Eukaryotic large subunit ribosomal RNA", at positions 40 to 943 of the family's 3401-position model. Lineage: Eukaryota; Fungi; Ascomycota; Arthoniomycetes; Arthoniales; Roccellaceae. The record is from RNAcentral.
AUAUCAAUAAGCGGAGGAAAAGAAACCAACAGGGAUUGCCCUAGUAACGGCGAGUGAAGCGGCAACAGCUCAAAUUUGAAAUCUGGCCCCCUCGGGGUUCGAGUUGUAAUUUGUAGAGGAUGCUUCGGCGUCGGCCCCGGGCUAAGUCCCCUGGAACGAGGCGCCCUAGAGGGUGAGAGCCCCGUACUCACUCGGGUGCCCUUCGCCAUGUGAAGCUCCUUCGACGAGUCGAGUUGUUUGGGAAUGCAGCUCUAAGCGGGAGGUAUAUUUCUUCUAAAGCUAAAUACCGGCCAGAGACCGAUAGCGCACAAGUAGAGUGAUCGAAAGAUGAAAAGCACUUUGGAAAGAGAGUUAAAAAGCACGUGAAAUUGUUGAAAGGGAAGCUCUUGCCGCCAGACUUGCCGCGGUUGCUCAGCCGCCCCCCGGGGCGGUGUACUCUUCCGUCGGCAGGCCAGCGUCGGUUCGGGCGACCGGAUAAAGGCCCUGGGAAUGUAGCACCCUCCGGGGUGUGUUAUAGCCCGGGGUGCAAUGCGGUCAGCCCGGUCCGAGGCACGCGUUCGCGAGGACGCUGGCGUAAUGGCUGCAAGCGACCCGUCUUGAAACACGGACCAAGGAGUCUAACAUCUGUGCGAGUGUUUGGGUCUCAAACUCAUGCGCGUAAUGAAAGUGAACGGAGGUGGGAACCCCCUCGAGGGGCGCACCAUCGACCGAUCCUGAUGUCUUCGGAUGGAUUUGAGUAAGAGCAUAGCUGUUGGGACCCGAAAGAUGGUGAACUAUUCCCGGAUAGGGUGAAGCCAGAGGAAACUCUGGUGGAGGCUCGCAGCGGUUCUGACGUGCAAAUCGAUCGUCAAAUCUAGGAAUAGGGGCGAAAGACUAAUCGAACCAU